AUCCGACUGACGAGUCCCAGAUAAGACGAAACGCACGUCUUACAU
Non-coding RNA from Schistosoma margrebowiei, 45 nucleotides. The record is from Rfam. NCBI's taxonomy places the organism in Eukaryota, Metazoa, Platyhelminthes, Trematoda, Strigeidida, Schistosomatidae.